Long non-coding RNA from Vespa mandarinia (Asian giant hornet), 729 nucleotides. Lineage: Eukaryota; Metazoa; Arthropoda; Insecta; Hymenoptera; Vespidae. The record is from RefSeq and is a predicted model, not a curated record.
CUACAUACCUACAUAUUUAAAAAAAAAAAAAUAGAUUAGAAAAGAAAAAGAGAAAAAUUAGACAACUAAAUUUAUCUCGAUUUUUUUUUUUAUGUCUAAAACUAAACUGAUAUUUUUUUUUUUUAGAAACGUAGUCAGUCAUAUGAAUUAUGCAUUUUAACAUACACAUCAGUAAUUAUGCACCUGCGUAUGGAUUUUAUUGCUAAGAUAUAUAGCUAAUUAUAUUGAUAACAUAAAUUUAAAUGUGUACAAAUGUAAAUUCACAUGUAAACUUUUUAAUGUAUGAAUACAUUUAUUCUUUGAAAUGGAUAUAUACCUUUCAAAGUCCAAGUAUCUCGGUAAAAAAAGAAGAAAAAAGAAUUAUCAGAGACCUUUCAUACAUUCGCACAGAUAGCCAUGCACGCACGUGCUCAUGAAAUUAAUCAAUUUACAUCGAUAGGAUAAGAUGUCGUGCUAGAUAGCACGAAGCCGUGUAUUCAGGAUCGUUCGUCAAUCUGGGACUCGUGUUCGUGACCGUGAUUCGCUCGUUUUCUCACCCCAUUUUUUUUAGAACAUAAUAGAGAGUCUCUUUUAUGAAAUCAAGGAUGCAUGCAAUUGAUACCAGAAAUUAUCCAUGAUCGUGAUCUAGUUUUCUAUCGGCAGACAUAUUCCUUUCGAGAUAAGAAAUUAUAAAUACUAUUGGAUAUCAAAAAUUUGCGAUGUGUUAUGAAGUAAAACUUAAAAAAAAAA